Molecule: non-coding RNA, 73 nt
Organism: Camelus ferus (Wild Bactrian camel)
Lineage: Eukaryota; Metazoa; Chordata; Mammalia; Artiodactyla; Camelidae
Source: Rfam
GGAGGGGAAAGCCUAGGGGUAGAGUGUGUGCCUGGCAUGCACAAGGUCCUGGGUUCAAUCCCCAGCACCUCCA